GACGGAGGAUGCAAGCGUUAUCCGGAAUGAUUGGGCGUAAAGCGUCCGCAGGUGGCAGUUCAAGUCUGCUGUCAAAGACCGGGGCUUAACUUCGGAAAGGCAGUGGAAACUGAACAGCUAGAGUAUGGUAGGGGCAACUGGAAUUCUCGGUGUAGCGGUGAAAUGCGUAGAUAUCUGGAGGAACACCGGUGGCGAAGGCGGCAUCCUGGACCGGCAUUGACGCUGAGGAGCGAAAGCUAGGGGAGCAAACGGG
RNAcentral lists this ribosomal RNA (253 nucleotides) under uncultured bacterium. Its description in RNAcentral is "partial 16S ribosomal RNA". It matches the Rfam family "Bacterial small subunit ribosomal RNA", at positions 524 to 776 of the family's 1533-position model. The record is from RNAcentral.